UGGGGAAUUUUGCACAAUGGGGGAAACCCUGAUGCAGCGACGCCGCGUGAUUUAGAAGGCCUUCGGGUUGUAAAAAUCUUUUGUAUGGGAAGAAAAUGACAGUACCAUACGAAUAAGGACCGGCUAAUUACGUGCCAGCAGCCGCGGUAAUACGUAAGGUCCGAGCGUUGUCCGGAAUCAUUGGGCGUAAAGGGUACGUAGGCGGAUAAGCAAGUUAGAAGUGAAAUCCUAUAGCUCAACUAUAGUAAGCUUUUAAAACUGCUCAUCUUGAGGUAUGGAAGGGAAAGGGGAAUUCCUAGUGUAGCGGUGAAAUGCGGAGAUAUUAGGAGGAAUACCGGUGGCGAAGGCGACUUUCUGGCCAUAUACGGACGCUGAGGCGCGAAAGCGUGGGGAGCAAACAGG
This 402-nucleotide ribosomal RNA is filed under the name Verrucomicrobiota bacterium. Its description in RNAcentral is "Verrucomicrobia bacterium partial 16S ribosomal RNA". It matches the Rfam family "Bacterial small subunit ribosomal RNA", at positions 355 to 776 of the family's 1533-position model. Lineage: Bacteria; Pseudomonadati; Verrucomicrobiota. The record is from RNAcentral.